Molecule: long non-coding RNA, 501 nt
Filed under: Fukomys damarensis (Damara mole-rat)
Lineage: Eukaryota; Metazoa; Chordata; Mammalia; Rodentia; Bathyergidae
Description: lncRNA (ENSFDAG00000022335.1)
Source: RNAcentral
AGAAUGUAAAUAAAACCCAAUCUCUGUCCUUCCAGGGGGUGAGAAAGUCAUUGUCGAUCGUGACAGGGCUGAGGUUCUUCCUACUCACUGCCACCUCCAACUCAAGGUCUCCUGGUAUUGUUUGGAAAGGACACAAAUGACAUUCUCUGAAGGCUCCAGAACCAGGCCACCAGGAUUUGUUUUGCUGUUCUUUCACUUACAAACGUACAGAACUGGAUGGACAGACAGACAGACAGACAUUAUGUGUGGGUCCUGUUUCUGGAGAACCCUAAUACGGUCGGACUAUUGAUUUGCCAUUCUACAUCUUCUCCAGUGCCUUCUCACCACUGCCCUCACUGCAUCCCACCAAUUUGCUACCUCUCAUGGAGACAGAUUGAUUCCAAGCAUCGUUGUACAUGAGGGAACAACUGGAAAUCUUUGGAGUUUUAACUAACCCAAGUUUUAAAUUUAAGGCCCAAUUUGAAAUUUAAAUGAAGCUAUAUUACCCCAAAACCUUACCCA